RNAcentral lists this ribosomal RNA (494 nucleotides) under uncultured bacterium. Its description in RNAcentral is "bacterial SSU rRNA". It matches the Rfam family "Bacterial small subunit ribosomal RNA", at positions 903 to 1397 of the family's 1533-position model. The record is from RNAcentral.
AAAUGAAUAGACGGGGGCCCGCACAAGCAGCGGAGCAUGUGGUUUAAUUCGAAGCAACGCGAAGAACCUUACCAGGUCUUGACAUCCAUCUAAAGCCAUAGAGAUAUGGUGUCUCUUCGGAGGAGAUGAGACAGGUGGUGCAUGGUUGUCGUCAGCUCGUGUCGUGAGAUGUUGGGUUAAGUCCCGCAACGAGCGCAACCCUUACGGAUAGUUACCAGUGCGUAAAGGCAGGGACUCUAUCGGGACUGCCGUGGAGAACACGGAGGAAGGCGGGGACGACGUCAAAUCAUCAUGCCCCUUAUGACCUGGGCUACACACGUGCUACAAUGGCUGUGACAAAGAGCAGCGAAGCCGCAAGGUGGAGCCAAUCUCAAAAAAGCAGUCCCAGUUCGGAUUGUGGGCUGCAACCCGCCCACAUGAAGUUGGAGUUGCUAGUAAUCGCGAAUCAGCAUGUCGCGGUGAAUGCGUUCCCGGGCCUUGUACACACCGCCCGU